RNAcentral lists this ribosomal RNA (253 nucleotides) under uncultured bacterium. RNAcentral describes it as "partial 16S ribosomal RNA". It matches the Rfam family "Bacterial small subunit ribosomal RNA", at positions 524 to 776 of the family's 1533-position model. The record is from RNAcentral.
UACGGGGGGGGCAAGCGUUGUUCGGAAUUACUGGGCGUAAAGGGUUCGUAGGUGGCCUGCUAAGUCAGACGUGAAAUCCCUCAGCUUAACUGGGGAACUGCGUCUGAUACUGGUAGGCUUGAGUGCAGGAGAGGAACGCGGAAUUCCAGGUGUAGCGGUGAAAUGCGUAGAUAUCUGGAGGAACACCGGUGGCGAAGGCGGCGUUCUGGACUGCAACUGACACUGAGGAACGAAAGCCAGGAGAGCAAACGGG